CGUGGGGAGCAAACAGGAUUAGAUACCUGGUAGUCCACGCUGUAAACGAUGUCGAUUUGGAGGUUGUGCCCUGAGGCGUGGCUUCCGGAGCUAACGCGUUAAAUCGACCGCUGGGGAGUACGGCCGCAAGGUUAAAACUCAAAUGAAUUGACGGGGGCCCGCACAAGCGGUGGAGCAUGUGGUUUAAUUCGAUGCAACGCGAAGAACCUUACCUACUCUUGACAUCCAGAGAACUUAGCAGAGAUGCUUUGGUGCCUUCGGGAACUCUGAGACAGGUGCUGCAUGGCUGUCGUCAGCUCGUGUUGUGAAAUGUUGGGUUAAGUCCCGCAACGAGCGCAACCCUUAUCCUUUGUUGCCAGCGGUUCGGCCGGGAACUCAAAGGAGACUGCCAGUGAUAAACUGGAGGAAGGUGGGGAUGACGUCAAGUCAUCAUGGCCCUUACGAGUAGGGCUACACACGUGCUACAAUGGCGUAUACAAAGAGAAGCGACCUCGCGAGAGCAAGCGGACCUCAUAAAGUACGUCGUAGUCCGGAUUGGAGUCUGCAACUCGACUCCAUGAAGUCGGAAUCGCUAGUAAUCGUAGAUCAGAAUGCUACGGUGAAUACGUUCCCGGGCCUUGUACACACCGCCCGUCACACCAUGGGAGUGGGUUGCAAAAGAAGUAGGUAGCUUAACCUUCGGGAGGGCGCUUACCACUUUGUGAUUCAUGACUGGGGUGAAGUCGUAACAAGGUAACCA
RNAcentral lists this ribosomal RNA (739 nucleotides) under uncultured Serratia sp. RNAcentral describes it as "bacterial SSU rRNA". It matches the Rfam family "Bacterial small subunit ribosomal RNA", at positions 760 to 1502 of the family's 1533-position model. Lineage: Bacteria; Pseudomonadati; Pseudomonadota; Gammaproteobacteria; Enterobacterales; Yersiniaceae. The record is from RNAcentral.